CCAAUAACAAAGUGGUGUUUCCCCAGGGUGAGGCUCACCCCUUGCACUUCAGGUGUGCUGACCCCUGGGAUUUCCCCACACAGGAAACUCGACUGCACAAUUUGUGGCAGUGCGGGACUGCAUUCGUGCUCUCCCUGG
This 138-nucleotide small nuclear RNA is filed under the name Alligator mississippiensis (American alligator). Its description in RNAcentral is "U1 spliceosomal RNA". It matches the Rfam family "U1 spliceosomal RNA", at positions 26 to 166 of the family's 166-position model. From Rfam's summary of the family: U1 is a small nuclear RNA (snRNA) component of the spliceosome (involved in pre-mRNA splicing). Its 5' end forms complementary base pairs with the 5' splice junction, thus defining the 5' donor site of an intron. Lineage: Eukaryota; Metazoa; Chordata; Crocodylia; Alligatoridae. The record is from Rfam by way of RNAcentral.